RNAcentral lists this ribosomal RNA (254 nucleotides) under uncultured prokaryote. RNAcentral describes it as "partial 16S ribosomal RNA". It matches the Rfam family "Bacterial small subunit ribosomal RNA", at positions 524 to 776 of the family's 1533-position model. The record is from RNAcentral.
UACGAAGGGGGCUAGCGUUGUUCGGAAUCACUGGGCGUAAAGCGCGUGUAGGCGGAUCGUUAAGUCGGGGGUGAAAUCCUGAGGCUCAACCUCAGAACUGCCUUCGACACUGGCGAUCUUGGAGUCCGGGAGAGGUGAGUGGAACUCCUAGUGUAGAGGUGAAAUUCGUAGAUAUUAGGAAGAACACCAGUGGCGAAGGCGGCUCACUGGCCCGGUACUGACGCUGAUAUGCGAAAGCGUGGGGAGCAAACAGG